UACGUAGGGGGCAAGCGUUGUCCGGAUUUAUUGGGCGUAAAGAGCGUGUAGGCGGCCAGAUAGGUCAGCUGUGAAAACUCGAGGCUCAACCUCGAGAUGUCGGCUGAAACCAUCUGGCUAGAGUCCGGAAGAGGAGAAUGGAAUUCCCGGUGUAGCGGUGAAAUGCGCAGAUAUCAGGAGGAACACCGGUGGCGAAGGCGGGUCUCUGGGCCGAUACUGACGCUGAGGAGCGAAAGCGUGGGGAGCGAACAGG
RNAcentral lists this ribosomal RNA (253 nucleotides) under uncultured bacterium. RNAcentral describes it as "partial 16S ribosomal RNA". It matches the Rfam family "Bacterial small subunit ribosomal RNA", at positions 524 to 776 of the family's 1533-position model. The record is from RNAcentral.